RNAcentral lists this ribosomal RNA (237 nucleotides) under uncultured bacterium. RNAcentral's name for it is "partial 16S ribosomal RNA". It matches the Rfam family "Bacterial small subunit ribosomal RNA", at positions 99 to 334 of the family's 1533-position model. The record is from RNAcentral.
CGAACGGGUGAGUAACGCGUGAGGAACCUGCCUCAAAGAGGGGGACAACAGUUGGAAACGACUGCUAAUACCGCAUAAGCCCACGGCUCGGCAUCGAGCAGAGGGAAAAGGAGCAAUCCGCUUUGAGAUGGCCUCGCGUCCGAUUAGCUAGUUGGUGAGGUAACGGCCCACCAAGGCGACGAUCGGUAGCCGGACUGAGAGGUUGAACGGCCACAUUGGGACUGAGACACGGCCCAA